This 252-nucleotide ribosomal RNA is filed under the name uncultured prokaryote. RNAcentral describes it as "partial 16S ribosomal RNA". It matches the Rfam family "Bacterial small subunit ribosomal RNA", at positions 525 to 775 of the family's 1533-position model. The record is from RNAcentral.
ACGUAGGGUGCGAGCGUUGUCCGGAAUUACUGGGCGUAAAGAGCUCGUAGGUGGUUUGUCGCGUCGUUUGUGGAAUGCCGCAGCUUAACUGCGGGGUUGCAGGCGAUACGGGCAUAACUUGAGUGCUGUAGGGGAGACUGGAAUUCCUGGUGUAGCGGUGGAAUGCACAGAUAUCAGGAGGAACACCGAUGGCGAAGGCAGGUCUCUGGGCAGUAACUGACGCUGAGGAGCGAAAGCAUGGGGAGCGAACAG